GUGCCAGAGCCGCGGUAAUACGUAGAGUGCAAGCGUUGUCCGGAAUCAUUGGGCGUAAAGGGUACGCAGGCGGAUAUGCAAGUCAAAUGUGAAAACUACCGGCUUAACUGGUAGACUGCGUUUGAAACUGUAUAUCUUGAGUGCAGCAGAGGAGAGCGGAAUUUCUAGUGUAGUGGUGGAAUACGUAGAUAUUAGAAAGAACACCAGUGGCGAAGGCGGCUCUCUGGGCUGACACUGACGCUCAGGUACGAAAGCUGGAGGAGCGAACGGGAUUAGAAACCCCGGUAGUCC
Molecule: ribosomal RNA, 291 nt
Filed under: uncultured bacterium
Lineage: Bacteria
Description: partial 16S ribosomal RNA
Rfam family: Bacterial small subunit ribosomal RNA
Source: RNAcentral